Molecule: ribosomal RNA, 559 nt
Filed under: Anaplasma phagocytophilum
Lineage: Bacteria; Pseudomonadati; Pseudomonadota; Alphaproteobacteria; Rickettsiales; Anaplasmataceae
Description: bacterial SSU rRNA
Rfam family: Bacterial small subunit ribosomal RNA
Source: RNAcentral
ACGGUCGCAAGACUAAAACUCAAAGGAAUUGACGGGGACCCGCACAAGCGGUGGAGCAUGUGGUUUAAUUCGAUGCAACGCGAAAAACCUUACCACUCCUUGACAUGGAGAUUAGAUCCUUCUUAACGGAAGGGCGCAGUUCGGCUGGAUCUCGCACAGGUGCUGCAUGGCUGUCGUCAGCUCGUGUCGUGAGAUGUUGGGUUAAGUCCCGCAACGAGCGUAACCCUCAUCCUUAGUUGCCAGCGGGUAAUGCCGGGCACUUUAAGGAAACUGCCGGUGGUAAACUGGAGGAAGGUGGGGAUGAUGUCAAGUCAGCACGGCCCUUAUGGGGUGGGCUACACACGUGCUACAAUGGUGACUACAAUAGGUUGCAAUGUCGCAAGGCUGAGCUAAUCCGUAAAAGUCAUCUCAGUUCGGAUUGUCCUCUGCAACUCGAGGGCAUGAAGUCGGAAUCGCUAGUAAUCGUGGAUCAGCAUGCCACGGUGAAUACGUUCUCGGGUCUUGUACACACUGCCCGUCACGCCAUGGGAAUUGGCUUAACUCGAAGCUGGUGCGCUAA